RNAcentral lists this ribosomal RNA (231 nucleotides) under uncultured Acaulosporaceae. Its description in RNAcentral is "partial 18S ribosomal RNA". It matches the Rfam family "Eukaryotic small subunit ribosomal RNA", at positions 569 to 802 of the family's 1831-position model. The record is from RNAcentral. Lineage: Eukaryota; Fungi; Glomeromycota; Glomeromycetes; Diversisporales; Acaulosporaceae.
AGCAGCCGCGGUAAUUCCAGCUCCAAUAGCGUAUAUUAAAGUUGUUGCAGUUAAAAAGCUCGUAGUUGAAUUUCGGAGUUUGUCGGUUGGUCGGGCUUCAUUGUCCGCACUGACCUGAUGGAUUCCUACCUUCUGAAUAACCAGCAUGCUAUUAAGUUAGUGCGGUUGGGGAAGCAGAGCUAUUACCUUAGAAAAAUUAGAGUGACUUAAAGCAGGCUUAUGCUUGAAUAG